GCCCUUAGAGUUUGAUCCUGGCUCAGGAUGAACGCUAGCGGCAGGCUUAAUACAUGCAAGUCGGACGGUAACAGACCUGGCAACGGGUGCUGACGAGUGGCGCACGGGUGCGUAACACGUAUGCAACCUACCCUGUACUGGGGGAUAACCCUGAGAAAUCGGGGCUAAUACCCCAUGGAAUCAUAGAGUGGCAUCGCUAUUAUGAUUAAAGAUUCAUUGGUACGGGAUGGGCAUGCGCCCCAUUAGUUAGUUGGUGAGGUAACGGCUCUCCAAGGCGAUGAUGGGUAGGGGUUCUGAGAGGAUUAUCCCCCACACUGGUACUGAGACACGGACCAGACUCCUACGGGAGGCAGCAGUAAGGAAUAUUGGGCAAUGGAGGCAACUCUGACCCAGCCAUGCCGCGUGCAGGAAGACGGCCCUAUGGGUUGUAAACUGCUUUUGUAUGGGACUAACCGUGGAUACGUGUAUUCAUCUGCAUGUACCAUACGAAUAAGCAUCGGCUAACUCCGUGCCAGCAGCCGCGGUAAUACGGAGGAUGCGAGCGUUAUCCGGAAUUAUUGGGUUUAAAGGGUGCGUAGGCUGACAAGUAAGUCAGUGGUGAAAUACCCCCGGCUUA
This 616-nucleotide ribosomal RNA is filed under the name uncultured Bacteroidota bacterium. RNAcentral's name for it is "bacterial SSU rRNA". It matches the Rfam family "Bacterial small subunit ribosomal RNA", at positions 1 to 611 of the family's 1533-position model. Lineage: Bacteria; Pseudomonadati; Bacteroidota. The record is from RNAcentral.